Long non-coding RNA from Dromaius novaehollandiae (emu), 3257 nucleotides. RefSeq lists it as uncharacterized. The transcript has 13 exons. The record is from RefSeq and is a predicted model, not a curated record. NCBI's taxonomy places the organism in Eukaryota, Metazoa, Chordata, Aves, Casuariiformes, Dromaiidae.
UUCUCUCUCUUUUUUAAGGUCCUAAGUUCUCCAUGAUGUUCUCAUAGACCAAAAUAUAAAGUGAGGAUUCAGGCACCAAAUUAAAAGACACCAUAAAAGUGAAUUCAACACCAACUCGGCUGCUAAAGCAGUAAUAUGCAGCACUGGCAUAUUUCCCUCUUUCAACAUGGAAGAUUCUACAAAGCAGACAACAGUGACCUAGUUACAAGAGGUGUGCUCAUAAAUAUAUUACGCCGCCAACCAGUAAGCAAUUUCAAGCAUUCUUUUUUCAGAGAAUAAACUGAGAACUCUGGGGAAGCAUCAGUCUCCUCUCCUGAUACCACCCAGACUGUCCCUCCAGCUCUGCUCUAUCAUGACCUGUUACUUCACUUCCCUUUGCCAGUGGCACUACUUAAAUACACCAAAGUCGUGGUCAUUCUGCAUGGUAUUGCCUGCACGGGGUGCUCUGGAGCUGGGUCCUUCAAGACUAGCAGAGAGAAAUUUCUGAGAAUUCAUGGAAAAACGGUUGUGGAGAAGGAAUGGACAACUAUAUAAAUCUUGGGGUAGUGCCAAUCUCUCGCCUCUCAUCCUUCCUCUGAAGUUGUACUGAAGCCUUCAUGCUGGACAAUGUGGCCACCAAGACUGUUGUAGUGCUACUCAGUUGCUUUACCUCCUCUGUUUUGGAUUGGGAAGCUUUACCUCCUCUGUUUUGGAUCGUCACCAAUACAGUUCUCAGGGAGACACACCAGGAGGUCGUGUCCCAGCCAGAAGCAGGAAGCCCUUGCAAUAUCUUGAGAGACCCUAUUUUUGCUGGCUUUCUAGGCAAGUUGUGCAGACCGAAGAACUUCUGAUAUCCAGAUUUCACUUAGCGGAAAAAUGAGAGGACUUAGUGCUCUUACUGUCAUUUCAGAAAAACAUCGAUGUUGGGAGAACGGUGACUGAGGAAUGACUGCACUUGACCCCUCCCUCGUAUCUGAGGUGAAGCCAUUCACCACCACUAUCUCACUUUCAUCUCUAGCAUCAUUUUUCAUCCUGUCUUGUUAUUAAUAGCAUUCUUGGCUGGCCUUCUGAAUUAGUCUUCGCUGUGAUACUAUCAAAAGUUUUCUCCGUUUUUCUUCGUGCAAUUGUGUCUGUGAUUUAGCUGUUCAUUUGUGCUGCUAUUGUAAGGAGAAAAAGUGAAUUGAGGGUCCUGAUUCUGCAUCUAGGGCACACAAGCAGGGCCCUGAGCUUCCAUGUAGCUGCUUUGAAGACAAACAAGAAAAGACAGUGAACGUCCAAAAAAGCUCACAGGAACCGCUAUAACUAAGUGAGAAGACGCUCUUACUUUGUGUGGCCAAACUUCAGAGAAUUCUUAAGGAAUGAUGCAACCAAGCACCGGCAGGCACCUUCUCAGCUGGCGAGUGCCGAGAGGGCCAGCGAGGAACGGCCCCGAAUGGGAGCUGGAACUGAAGGGCGCCAAGUUACUCCCACCGCUUCACAGGGUGGCCAGACCCUACGGGGGUCCAAAGAGAUGCAGCGAAAGCUCUGUGUUUGGUCGCCUUCUACCACAUAGCUUCCUCUCCGCCUUCUUGACGUUCAUUCAGCUUACUGGGGCCCAGACGUGUCCAUACUACCAUCCAUGUGCAGCGUUUUCCAGCUGUUCUAUUUUUGUUGUGGUGGUUUCAUUUCCCUGAGCUCAAUGAGGCCAAGUGUACCUUUUACCAAAGAACUCCCAACACCAGGAAAAACUUCUUUCUGCAUGUGAGUCACUAAGCGAUCACUAUAAUUUUACUCCAAAGCAAACCAGUGUGAAAGGACUUCCAGGAAUAUGGGGGGAAAAAGGGGAAAAACACCCCAAAGAUUUUGCAUCCCUGUGUUUCCAAAAUGUAGAAAAUAAAAAGGGAAAUGCACUUCUCUGUGGACCUGGGAUUUUUCCCGUAGAGACUUGUUGGAAGCUAUUGUGUAAAAAUGCCAAAACCUGGCAAUAAUUCAAAAUCAUGAGAAUUUGCAGAAUUUGCUCAGAAAGCUGAACUGAAAUAGCAAAACAAGAUCCUACAGUUUUGCCUGUAAUAAGCUUGUGCAGGGGAAAAUCGAAUGAACAAAAACUUACAUUAGGAAGAAGAAAUGGAAGUCAAAAGGAAACAGGUGGAUAAAACAAGUCCUUAAAUCCUCAGUCCAUCACAGACUCAAGAAACCCACAAAACAAAAACCCUACCUUUAAGGAGGUAUCAAAACUGCUGGGUUUUGAGAAAGAAAGAAAAUAAGGGUCUAAUUUAUUCAGAGUCUGAGUACAAGUGAAGUUCUGCUGAGAAAUGGAAACAGUAACAGACCUGUCGGAGGAAUUCUGGACACGUGUACAGAAAACAGUAUAAAAAAGAACAGAAUCCAGAAAACACAGAUUUGAAGAGAAGAUUAAUGAGCAAGUAAUUCAAUGAAGAAAACUUUGUGCCAAAUCAGAAUCCAUCAAUAACCUUUUGUUGAUAAAAUAACCAGACGUGACAGCUCAUCAAAAACCUCUGAAAAACUCGCCCCUUUGAAAGUUUUAGAGAAAAAGGGCCAACCAAAGCUGUCUAUUCAUUGAUUCAACAGAGAAAUUGCAUCUUUUUUUUUUGCCUGUACUUGCAAACUGAUGUCAUUCUAAUUAAGUAGAACUCAACGCUGAAACUAUAGUUAUUUUCAGGGCUUCAGGGAAGCUUAGAGUAGUUGGCCUUUGAGCACUUUCCUCGUCAUACCCAAAAAACACGUCCAAUGUGGCUUAAAAACAAAAGUAGUGAUUGAUCUCUAUCAGUAGAUCAGGACUGAGGAGGGAAGGGAAUACAUGCAGGAAAACCAUGGGAAUAAACGGGCCAUAUAUUCCACAUAUUGGAAAUAAGAUUUCUAAGCAUUCAAGGAAUAAGGUUUUGGAGGAACUUUCCUAGGAAGAUAAAAAGGCUUAAGGUGCUUUUAAGCUGAAAGUUUGCAUGUUUAUGAAAGAGAAGAUGUAGCAUGACUAUUUGCAGUUAGAAGGUCCUAGAUUUAAUAUUCCAAGACUAUUCCUUCCAGUUUUAUGUUCUUCUAUCGCAUUAAACUAAUGAAAAGUCUUCAGUAGCUUACUAAUAAUGCUUUAUUGGAGAUUUAAACUGUAGAUGAAUGGUAAUUAGCUAUUAACAUUUUUGUAAAAUAUAAAAUGGAGGAUGCGUUAACAUGUCUUCUUUAGAUUUAUGAUCCUGGUUGUGCUGAAAGUUAAUGGAGUGCACGAAUUUUUAUUAUACAUUUGCCAAAGCUUUGCACACGAAAGAGUAUUAAACAUUUAUCCAAGA